RNAcentral lists this ribosomal RNA (1237 nucleotides) under Vibrio neptunius. RNAcentral's name for it is "bacterial SSU rRNA". It matches the Rfam family "Bacterial small subunit ribosomal RNA", at positions 145 to 1377 of the family's 1533-position model. The record is from RNAcentral. Lineage: Bacteria; Pseudomonadati; Pseudomonadota; Gammaproteobacteria; Vibrionales; Vibrionaceae.
AACCAUUGGAAACGAUGGCUAAUACCGCAUAAUAGCUUCGGCUCAAAGAGGGGGACCUUCGGGCCUCUCGCGUCAGGAUAUGCCCAGGUGGGAUUAGCUAGUUGGUGAGGUAAUGGCUCACCAAGGCGACGAUCCCUAGCUGGUCUGAGAGGAUGAUCAGCCACACUGGAACUGAGACACGGUCCAGACUCCUACGGGAGGCAGCAGUGGGGAAUAUUGCACAAUGGGCGCAAGCCUGAUGCAGCCAUGCCGCGUGUAUGAAGAAGGCCUUCGGGUUGUAAAGUACUUUCAGCAGUGAGGAAGGUGGUGUCGUUUUUUUCGGCAUCAUUUGACGUUAGCUGCAGAAGAAGCACCGGCUAACUCCGUGCCAGCAGCCGCGGUAAUACGGAGGGUGCGAGCGUUAAUCGGAAUUACUGGGCGUAAAGCGCAUGCAGGUGGUUUGUUAAGUCAGAUGUGAAAGCCCGGGGCUCAACCUCGGAAUUGCAUUUGAAACUGGCAGACUAGAGUACUGUAGAGGGGGGUAGAAUUUCAGGUGUAGCGGUGAAAUGCGUAGAGAUCUGAAGGAAUACCGGUGGCGAAGGCGGCCCCCUGGACAGAUACUGACACUCAGAUGCGAUAGCGUGGGGAGCAAACAGGAUUAGAUACCCUGGUAGUCCACGCCGUAAACGAUGUCUACUUGGAGGUUGUGGCCUUGAGCCGUGGCUUUCGGAGCUAACGCGUUAAGUAGACCGCCUGGGGAGUACGGUCGCAAGAUUAAAACUCAAAUGAAUUGACGGGGGCCCGCACAAGCGGUGGAGCAUGUGGUUUAAUUCGAUGCAACGCGAAGAACCUUACCUACUCUUGACAUCCUCAGAAGAGACUGGAGACAGUCUUGUGCCUUCGGGAACUGAGAGACAGGUGCUGCAUGGCUGUCGUCAGCUCGUGUUGUGAAAUGUUGGGUUAAGUCCCGCAACGAGCGCAACCCUUAUCCUUGUUUGCCAGCGAGUCAUGUCGGGAACUCCAGGGAGACUGCCGGUGAUAAACCGGAGGAAGGUGGGGACGACGUCAAGUCAUCAUGGCCCUUACGAGUAGGGCUACACACGUGCUACAAUGGCGCAUACAGAGGGCAGCCAACUUGCGAAAGUGAGCGAAUCCCAAAAAGUGCGUCGUAGUCCGGAUUGGAGUCUGCAACUCGACUCCAUGAAGUCGGAAUCGCUAGUAAUCGUAGAUCAGAAUGCUACGGUGAAUACGUUCCCGG